ACCAACUUUGGUUACGAAUAUUUGCUCCUCAAUUCAAAAGACGAGGAUGCAUGAGGGACGGGCCACUCCAUUUUUGCCAACCCUAAAUUUGUGGCAAUUGCUAAAACAGAGCUUCUCUUCUAACAGCAAACACCCAAUCGAAGUAAUGGACGACUUUUCAAUUGAGAAGAUCCAAUUAUCUGGCGCCACUUUGGCCUCACUCCUCCACCGUGCCUCCGCUGCCACCGGCGACCUCCACGGCUACCUCUUUGGCCACGUCACCCUUUCGACCCACAAUCCCCUCUCCGACGACUCCACCACCUCUUCCGCCACUGCCGGUCCAGUUCUCGCCGCUACUAUCACUUCCUUCAUCUCCCUCCCCUCCCACCUCUCUCUUCCUCCGCCGCCACCUCACACCAUCACCAACACCCUUCUCGGCUGGUUCUCCGCCCGCCGGAAAACUGCACUUCGUCCCUCUCUUAAAGACUCCACCACUACUGGCGCUCUUUCCUCCUCCACUUCUCAUUCAUUCACCCCCAAAAAUUCAUCUCUUUCUCUCCCUCCUUCUCUCUUUCUUCUCUUGACGACGCCGAUUCAAGAUCAAUUAAUUCACACCCAUGAAUACAAAGUUUUUCAGUACCGCAUUGCGGAUAAAACUUUCGAGCCCAAGAGCUUGAGUAUAAUUAACAUUGGCCCAUCUUUUCGUUCCCAUUACGAGUCUUUUAGCCCUUAUGCGCCAUUCCCGUUGGUCAAUUGUGAUUUGAGGGGCCCCAAUGCAAUGGAGGAGGAUGAAAAGGUUGAGAGUUUGGGAGCUAUGAAGGAUCAGAAGCAACUAGAUAUGUGCGCGGAGGGAUUUGAGAUUGGGAGGCUGAGUAAAUUGGUUGGCUCCGAGGCUACGCAUCUAACAGCUGAGUUGGAGGAAUUGUAUCAUAAAAUGCUUGCCAAACUCGAUGGCUUGUCGAAAGUGGUCGAACAGGGCUCUGCCAAAGUUUUGGAGCAGGAGAAUAAUAUUAUGAAGUUGAGGUAUAAAGCUGCUGGUUUGGAAUGAAUAAAUGGUGUUCUUGUUAUAAUUCAAGGAUUUUUCCUUUUGAAUGAUUUGAGUUUUGAGUAAUAUGUGGCAACAGUUGACCAUCCAAGAUUUAACGACUGAGAUCUGUGGAUGUGUGUUUGUGUAGACAUAAAAAACAUCGCUUUUCAGAAUAGUGUAGAUUCCUUGGAAGCACGAAGGUGCAUAGUAAAUCUCGGAAGCUUGUUGUUUAUAACAAAAUAAUCAUAGAAAUGUUGUUCUUGUUGCUGGCUAUUGGAUCUUUUGGCUGAUUUGUGGUUGAACGAGGCCGCGCCCUGGUUACAUCAUAAUGUACUACAUUCUACAUGUAUCAUUGUGUUAUGUACUUGUUUCCUAGUAUUGGCAUUGGUUCCUUUUUUAUUUUUCUUUUGUUUUUGUGUAUAAUCCUUGUGAUUUUGUUGAUAUUUUUUCCCUUUGGUGUCAAGAAGUUGAUGAAAUUGAGCAUAAAGCUUUUGAUGUUGAUUUCUUUGUUAGCUAGUUUUA
RNA transcript from Olea europaea var. sylvestris, 1528 nucleotides. RefSeq lists it as uncharacterized. Lineage: Eukaryota; Viridiplantae; Streptophyta; Magnoliopsida; Lamiales; Oleaceae. The transcript is spliced from 4 exons. The record is from RefSeq and is a predicted model, not a curated record.